CAGCAUUCCAACAAGCUAAGCGUACGUUUCCAGAGAGUGAUGGAAUAAUCUUAUAUAUGUAUAUUAUUGGAGACGGCUACCCGUUCAAGAUGAGCCAUAAGAAGACCAAAUGCCCAAGCAGAGUAGAAAAAGCAUCAUACAUGAUAUUGCUAGUAUUCAGUGCAUUACCCAUUCGGUCCAAGCAAAAAGAUGAUAUGUAUUGACAUGGCCGGAAAUAUACUGAUUCUAACAAGAUGUGAAUACUCAAAAAGAGCCUUGAAACAAAGAAAUAUAAAGUAAGAUGACAUGUAAAGCAACGUGAAAUAUAAAGUAAGAUGACAUGUAAAGCAACGUUGAGAUCCUAAUAAACAAACCAAUAAACAUGCAAUAAAAGAAAUUGUUGGAGCCAAUCA
Molecule: long non-coding RNA, 392 nt
Filed under: Brassica napus (rape)
Lineage: Eukaryota; Viridiplantae; Streptophyta; Magnoliopsida; Brassicales; Brassicaceae
Description: long non-coding RNA (BNAP_LNC019978)
Source: RNAcentral